Molecule: ribosomal RNA, 253 nt
Filed under: uncultured bacterium
Lineage: Bacteria
Description: partial 16S ribosomal RNA
Rfam family: Bacterial small subunit ribosomal RNA
Source: RNAcentral
GACAGAGGAGGCGAGCGUUAUCCGGAGUUAUUGGGCGUAAAGGGUACGUAGGCGGCUGGUCAAGUCUGGGGUCAAAGGCCACAGCUCAACUGUGGGAAGGCCCUGGAAACUGACCGGCUAGAGUGAGGUAGGGGUUGCGGGAAUUCCCGGUGUAGCGGUGAAAUGCGUAGAUAUCGGGAAGAACACCUGAGGCGAAAGCGCGCAACUGGGCCCUAACUGACGCUGAGGUACGAAAGCUAGGGGAGCGAAUGGG